GAUGAACGCUAGCGGCAGGCUUAAUACAUGCAAGUCGAGGGGCAGCGCAGUGUAGCAAUACAUGGGCGGCGACCGGCAAACGGGUGCGGAACACGUACACAACCUCCCUCCAAGCGGGGAAUAGCCCAGAGAAAUUUGGAUUAAUACCCCAUAGGAUAGUGGAAAGGCAUCUUUCAGCUAUUAAAGAUUCAUCACUUGGAGAUGGGUGUGCGUAUGAUUAGGUAGUUGGCGGGGUAACGGCCCACCAAGCCUACGAUCAUUAACUGGUGUGAGAGCACGACCAGUCACACGGGCACUGAGACACGGGCCCGACUCCUACGGGAGGCAGCAGUAAGGAAUAUUGGUCAAUGGACGCAAGUCUGAACCAACCAUGCCGCGUGGAGGAUGAAGGCCCUCUGGGUUGUAAACUUCUUUUAUCUGGGGCGAAACUCCUCUAUUCUUAGAGGCCUGACGGUACCAGAUGAAUAAGCACCGGCUAACUCCGUGCCAGCCGCCGCAGUAA
This 502-nucleotide ribosomal RNA is filed under the name uncultured bacterium. RNAcentral's name for it is "partial 16S ribosomal RNA". It matches the Rfam family "Bacterial small subunit ribosomal RNA", at positions 28 to 523 of the family's 1533-position model. The record is from RNAcentral.